Long non-coding RNA from Tarenaya hassleriana, 1121 nucleotides. RefSeq lists it as uncharacterized. Lineage: Eukaryota; Viridiplantae; Streptophyta; Magnoliopsida; Brassicales; Cleomaceae. The record is from RefSeq and is a predicted model, not a curated record. The transcript is spliced from 6 exons.
GGUUCUCGUUGCAGUUUUAAUUACAAAUGCACACCCUUCGCCGUCAUUGACGUCCCGCCGUCUCUAAUGUUAAUGUCACGCAUCGCAUCAUCGGAAGACCGUUAAAUUUAACGUCGGCCGUCCGUCGCUGUCCCGUUUUCUAUGUUCUCCGGUGGUUCUGGUUCCGCUGAGUCGGAUGUGAUCCGUUGCUCCGGGUUAACUCGGGUGCGUUGUCUAGUCGAGGGAUGCGAUUACAAGCACUGGCUCGUUGUCAUGGAGGCUCCCAAGGGUUAUCCACCUCGAAACGACAUCGGCAGAGGCUAUCUCAGAACCCUAACGAUGGCGUUCGCUCUGCCUGAGGUCAAAUGGGGUUCUGCCGGAUUCAUUCAUAGACAGUGAAUACGGAUAUGGAGGAGAACCUUUCAUUGAUGGGGAAGUAGACCCGUACGAUGAAAAGUACCACGCAGACUGGCUUUCGAGAUCAAAAUGAUGAUAAUGCUAAAAGCAAAGCCGUUGUAAAGAAGCCCGGGAGAAAAAGAACUAAGAAAUUGAUUAAAUGAAGAUAUUUGUCUAUUAUUGGUUAAUUAGUGUAGCUUUGUGUCAUCUUAAUGAAGGUUGCUGAUUUUUAGACCCUACAGAUGUGCCAGUGUUGCGUCUUGUUAUAAUGAAAAACGUGUGAUGGAGAUAUUUCCACAUAAUGGUUGAUUCUUCGUCUUAUGCUUGUAUUUUCAAUCAGGUUCAUGUAAACACGAUGGAGAUUUUUCCAACACGACAGAAAAUGGGGUUUGGUGGCUUUCACUUGUCUGCCUUCCGGGACCAAGGAAGGCAAGGCCUUUUGCAGCACCUAAUAGAAUCUUCAUUCGGGUUAACCAAGGCAGCGUUCCUGCAUAUCCUGCAUAUUUUACCCAUACUGUUUCCUCGUUCCAUAAAUUCAUACACUAGAAGCAUAUGUUCAUCCUCACUGCAGUAUCCGAUCAAGUUCACCAGAUGGGGAUGCUUCAAUUGACCCAAGAUGAUAACUUCAGCCUGCAGAUUUAAAGUCCAAACGAAAAAAAGAAAUAAAAAGGUGAAAAUGUGAAGGUCUACGAGAAAAGAAGCCGACAAGUCGCUGAGUGACACGGAUGAGCUGCUGACAUCAGAAA